RNAcentral lists this transfer RNA (74 nucleotides) under Culex quinquefasciatus (southern house mosquito). It matches the Rfam family "tRNA". From Rfam's summary of the family: Transfer RNA (tRNA) molecules are approximately 80 nucleotides in length. Their secondary structure includes four short double-helical elements and three loops (D, anti-codon, and T loops). Lineage: Eukaryota; Metazoa; Arthropoda; Insecta; Diptera; Culicidae. The record is from Rfam by way of RNAcentral.
GGCUCCGUGGCUUAAUGGUUACGGCUUCUGCCUCACAAGCAGAAGGUUCAGGGAUCAAAUUCCGGUCGGUACCU